This 531-nucleotide small RNA is filed under the name Bos taurus (domestic cattle). Lineage: Eukaryota; Metazoa; Chordata; Mammalia; Artiodactyla; Bovidae. The record is from RNAcentral.
UCAGGCGUCUCUUUGGCCUUUUCCUGCUACAUGGAGAUAGCCCUUGGGGGCACAUGUAGACAGGAGCACACAUAAAGCUACACAGAUAGGAAGAACAGAAGGCCUCACUCAGAAUGUUGUUGUCCAUAAAGGGUGGUAGGCUAGCAAGAGGGGCACAACAUUGACAAGGAAUGACCUAGAUAGGUGCACACCGAGAGAGAGGUUCUCCAAGUCAGCUGAGCCCAAAGGUCCUUGUUUUCUGUCCCCACAUGGAUCAGGCCAAUGUGACUGGUACUGUGAAGCUGUCCAAGGUGAUGGGAGAAUGCAGAACGCAGGCGCAUGUCAUACAGCUGUUCAUGGCAAGUGCUUCCAACCCUGCUUGCUGCUCUGCAGGUCGGUCCGUGUCACUGGCAAAUGCCAAGAUUUUGUAACUUUGACACUUUUGUGGACCUCAGUUGACAGGAGGUCUUCAUCUUUUCCUCCUGGUUGCCUGACGUCAGCUGUUCCAUAAGUGCUCUAGAGCCUCGUGGCUUCUGAGUCUCUUUAGUCAUU